RNAcentral lists this ribosomal RNA (253 nucleotides) under uncultured bacterium. RNAcentral's name for it is "partial 16S ribosomal RNA". It matches the Rfam family "Bacterial small subunit ribosomal RNA", at positions 524 to 776 of the family's 1533-position model. The record is from RNAcentral.
UACGUAGGGGGCAAGCGUUGUCCGGAAUCAUUGGGCGUAAAGCGCGUGUAGGCGGCUUGGUAAGUCCGCUCUGAAAGCCCGGAGCUCAACUCCGGAAUUGCCAUUGAAACUGUUUAGCUCGAGUACGAGAGAGGUGAGUGGAAUUCCCAGUGUAGAGGUGAAAUUCGUAGAUAUUGGGAAGAACACCGGUGGCGAAGGCGGCUCACUGGCUCGUAACUGACGCUCAAGCACGACAGCGUGGGGAUCAAACAGG